CUACGGGUGGCUGCAGUGAGGAAUAUUGCACAAUGGGGGGAACCCUGAUGCAGCAACGCCGCGUGGAGGAUGACGCAUUUCGGUGUGUAAACUCCUUUUAUAUGUCAAGAAAAUGACGGUAGCAUAUGAAUAAGCACCGGCUAACUCCGUGCCAGCAGCCGCGGUAAUAGCGGAGGGUGCAAGCGUUACUCGGAAUCACUGGGCGUAAAGGACGCGUAGGCGGGUUGGAAAGUCAGGUGUGAAAUCCUACAGCUUAACUGUAGAACUGCACUUGAAACUUCUAAUCUAGAGUAUGGGAGGGGGAGAUGGAAUUAGUGGUGUAGGGGUAAAAUCCGUAGAUAUCACUAGGAAUACCUAAAGCGAAGGCGAUCUCCUGGAACAUUACUGACGCUAAGGCGUGAAAGCGUGGGGAGCAAACAGGAUUAGAUACCCCAGUAGUC
Molecule: ribosomal RNA, 440 nt
Filed under: uncultured bacterium
Lineage: Bacteria
Description: partial 16S ribosomal RNA
Rfam family: Bacterial small subunit ribosomal RNA
Source: RNAcentral